CAGGGCCCUGAGUCAAUUAAACGUGAACGUUCAAUCAAAACAGAAGAUAUAGAUUCUAGUCAAAUCAAAGCUGAAAGCAUAUUAAAAUCUGAAAUUUCUAAGAUUACGGACAAAGGAGGGCUUGUGAACUCUGAAGGGGUUGAGAAGCUAGUUCACCUCAUGCAGCCAGAUAGAAAUGAGAAGAAAAUGGAUUUGAUCAGUCGUUCAAUGCUUGCAAGUGUUGUAGCUGCAACUGAAAAUUUUGACUGUCUUACUAGGUUUGUACAGUUAAGGGGUCUUCCAGUGUUAGAUGAGUGGCUUCAAGAUGUUCAUAAGGGGCGGAUUGGUGAAUCUAGCAACACAAAAGAUGGUGACAAAUCAAUUGAAGAAUUUCUCUUUGUUUUGCUUCGUGCACUUGAUAAGCUUCCUGUGAAUCUUCAAGCACUGCAGAUGUGUCAUAUUGGCAGGUCUGUCAAUCACUUGCGGCAGCAUAAAAACACAGAAAUACAGAGGAAGGCACGGAGUUUAG
This 508-nucleotide unclassified non-coding RNA is filed under the name Hevea brasiliensis (rubber tree). Lineage: Eukaryota; Viridiplantae; Streptophyta; Magnoliopsida; Malpighiales; Euphorbiaceae. The record is from RNAcentral.